CUACGGGCUGCUCCAGUGGGGAAUAUUGCACAAUGGAGGAAACUCUGAUGCAGCAACGCCGCGUGGAGGAUGACACUUUUCGGAGCGUAAACUCCUUUUAUAUAGGAAGAAGAUGACGGUACUAUAUGAAUAAGCGCCGGCUAACUCCGUGCCAGCAGCCGCGGUAAUACGGAGGGCGCAAGCGUUACUCGGAAUCACUGGGCGUAAAGAGCGUGUAGGCGGAUUAAAAAGUCAGAAGUGAAAUCCUAUAGCUUAACUAUAGAACUGCUUCUGAAACUCUUAAUCUAGAAUAUGGGAGAGGUAGAUGGAAUUUCUGGUGUAGGGGUAAAGUCCGUAGAGAUCAGAAGGAAUACCGAUUGCGAAGGCGAUCUACUAGAACAUUAUUGACGCUGAGACGCGAAAGCGUGGGGAGCAAACAGGAUUAGAUACCCGCGUAGUC
RNAcentral lists this ribosomal RNA (439 nucleotides) under uncultured bacterium. Its description in RNAcentral is "partial 16S ribosomal RNA". It matches the Rfam family "Bacterial small subunit ribosomal RNA", at positions 339 to 795 of the family's 1533-position model. The record is from RNAcentral.